CCUACGGGAGGCAGCAGUAAGGAAUAUUGGUCAAUGGACGAAAGUCUGAACCAGCCAUGCCGCGUGAAGGAUGAAGGCCCUCUGGGUUGUAAACUUCUUUUAUCUGGGACGAAAAAAGGGCUUUCUAGCUCACUUGACGGUACCAGAGGAAUAAGCACCGGCUAACUCCGUGCCAGCAGCCGCGGUAAUACGGAGGGUGCAAGCGUUAUCCGGAUUCACUGGGUUUAAAGGGUGCGUAGGUGGGUCUGUAAGUCAGUGGUGAAAUCUCCGAGCUUAACUCGGAAACUGCCAUUGAUACUAUAGGUCUUGAAUCAUCUGGAGGUAAGCGGAAUAUGUCAUGUAGCGGUGAAAUGCUUAGAUAUGACAUAGAACACCAAUUGCGAAGGCAGCUUACUACGGGUGCAUUGACACUGAGGCACGAAAGCGUGGGGAUCAAACAGGAUUAGAUACCCUGGUAGUCCACGCCCUAAACGAUGGAUACUCGACAUCAGCGAUACACUGUUGGUGUCUGAGCGAAAGCAUUAAGUAUCCCACCUGGAAGUACGACCGCAAGUUGAACGUCAAAUGAAUUGACGG
RNAcentral lists this ribosomal RNA (576 nucleotides) under uncultured bacterium. Its description in RNAcentral is "bacterial SSU rRNA". It matches the Rfam family "Bacterial small subunit ribosomal RNA", at positions 338 to 916 of the family's 1533-position model. The record is from RNAcentral.